GGACGAGCUUUCCAGGGCCCUUCCAGUCCCUGACACUGUGACUGUGUUUGUGGGACAGGUUCAGCAGCUCCUGCCAGCUGGGGUUGAGCUUUACAACCAGCGUUUCCCUGCAGCCAUGAUCCCAGAACCCCAGCCUGGUUGGGUUGAAGAGACCUCUGGAGAUCAUCCCAUCCAACCCAGCUGCUCACACAGGAGCUGUUGCUGGACAGAUGAUCCAAACAGUUGUGUAACUGCGAUGCUGUAUGCCAACGAGAGAGAAUGGAGCUCUCCAGGAGUUCUAAUGAAGCCUGGAUUUAAUGGACAAUUAAAAGACAUUUAAAAAUCCAGUAUGGUGUGAAUUAAAAGGAAGGAAGGUGGAAAUUUCCGCAAGAAGAGGUGGAUCUGCUGCUUGGCAAAAAAAGCUCAAACAAAAGCACGUUUAUAAAAAUACUGUUCUGAAGACCCGUCUCUGCAGUCUUCCUUUUCUAAACAACUGUCAGCUCUUUUUCUGCCCUCUCAUCCUUCAGGAUAUCGAUACAGACGGUGCUGAGCAGUGACGUCCCCGAAGGACAGCUGUCCCACUGCCGACACAGGCCAGCGUCACCUGAACAAAUACCUGCAGAUUUAUGCGACCUCAAAAUAUACAGGACUUGUUAACACCUCCCAAGUAUUGGUGAAUGUAGUGUACCGGUUUUAGCCCUUUAGAAAUCUCAGUGUGCUGUUCUAUCUCUUAAAAAUGAAUUUGUUUUAUUUUUAAAAUAUUAGAAUACCAAAUUAAAGAGAAACAGUGCUAAGCAGGAUGAAAUCUUCCCUCUGUCCUGAGAACCUUUUCUCAAAAGCAGCCAGUUCCUGAAACUUUCUCAGAAGUGGAAACCUCCUCAAAAUAUGUAUUAAUCUUUUUGGACUCCUCUCCCAUGUUGAUCUCCCUAUUGCCUGAAGCAUGAAAAUUGAUUAUCUUUAAUUUGAUUUUAGUUGGUGUUAUAACAGGUUUGAAUAGAGAAAGUGAAAUAUCCAGACAUUCGUAAACCCGCACGGCCUGGGUUGUGGCAGUGAGUCCACAAGUUGUCUGUUCACAAUAUCAAGAGUUUCUCUGCACUGGUUCUACCUGCACUGCGUUGUAACUCAAUUCAGUGUCAUAUACUCCUGGUAGCAAAUGAGGCGGAAAGGGUACUCCUCAUUCUUUUUCACUCUUAAUUACGACCAUCUUAUUCAAAUCCCCUCUAAUCCUUUUGCUGUCCAGAUUUUCAUCUUUGUUACUUUGAGGAGGCACCAUUGUAACAACUGAACUUCUUACUUUCCCCCUAAUUUAAUGACAAGAGCAAGACUGAGGAUACUGUUACUAUUACAAUUAUUAAUAGAUGUAUCUCUGAUCAAUGACAUUGGUGUCAACAGAACAUAUAUAUUUCUGUAUCUAUUUAUAUAGAUAUAUAUAUCUAUAUAUCUCCCCCUUUGCCAGACUAUUAAAUUAUCUAUGAGAGCCACUAAGUCUGAAAAUCCUCCCUAGGAGUCUCCAGCAUUCAGCUGUGACACAUCCAGUCCAGUUCACUCACACUAAAGCUUACGGUGAAAUUUUCACCACACUGAUGCUGUAAGAAGAUAGAAAUUUUCUAAAAUGGUUUUCAAGUCGUGUCCCAUGUCUUUGUUCUUCAUUCAAGGCAUUUUCUUUCGGUUCUUUGCUUUAUUUGUUAUUAAUUCUGUCAUGUAUAAGACAUUGUUCAUUUGAUGCGGUGUGUUCAGGUACGGGACGGUGUUUUCCCGGGACUGGAACAUCUGUCUGCAGUUGUGUGCAAAAUGCCCUUCUAGUGACAGAGAAUUCACCUCCACGUAAACCAAGGCUUAAACCAACACAUGAACCUCAGAGUAAAGAAUGUAAUGGGGUGAGAUGGAGAACUGAAAAAAACGGUUUUAUUACAGGCUUUGAGAUGUGAAUUCACAAAUAUUUCAGGCUGGAUUGAAUUCCUUGUUAAGGACUAACCUCUGAGAACAUCGACUUUCUGCAACAUCUGCUGUGGAAGAGACUUGGGCACCGGGGCUGUUCCGACCCUCUCGCUCGCUGCAGAGAAACAGAUGGAGUCUCGGGGAAGAUGUCAGAUUGGAAAUCGCUCUGAUUUGGACCUCACUUGUAGUUCUUUAAUUUUCCCCCAGAGAACGUCGUCAGGUUGGAGCACAGGCAGAAUAUAUUUUUGCCUUUGUGUGUAUGUGCUGGACUGAGCCAGAAUCUGGCCCCGAUCACUUCCUGUGCUCCGGUGACCUCUCGGCAUGAACCUCCUCAGCUGUGAAUCAGUGCAGUAACGUAACCUUGUAUUAUUUCACUUGAACAUGUGAAUAACUCUUGCUUUUCACAUUUCUAAUCACCAAGAAAAAAAAGAAAAAUAAAAGCUGAAUGAAACCAGAAACUCUGAUUUCGUUUGCCAAGACACUUGCGUUUUCUCAACAGCGGGGAUGUGUCCUCCAAAUUGAAAUCUGGAAAGUUCACGUCAAUACGGAGCGAGCUAUUUGAUCUGGGCAUGUUAUGUGCUUUAAUUGGCCCUGAAGGACAGCAUGUGUGUGUGUGGAUGGGAAAAGUACUCUGGAUCUGGUUUCAAAAUAGGUUUUUAAGAAUAAAAAGCAUAUCUUAUACCAUACUUUUGCUUGCUGCACAUUAUAGGAGUUUGUAUUUUAAUUGGUGCCAAAUGCUGAGAAGCACACCUGGGUCCCCGGGAGGUGGGUGAGCACAGGAGUGUGCCUGGGAACUUUAAAGAGUUAAAUGUUGAUGAUCUGGGAUAUGAUCUGUAGGUCAGAAAAGAGGUCUGGGGUGGUUCUGAAGAAGUGUGAUUUUCCGGGGCUCGUUCCUCAGUCUGGAUAGGAGCAGAUUGGAGGUUUGAAGCAACAUUUUUUGUAGCAAAAUACAGACACCGAUAAGAAUCAGUGGGGAUGGCACAUCAUCGCCACUGGCAACUGAGGUCACUGAAAAACGUCACUGCUUUACUAAAAGUAUCCUCCUCACAUCACAAUUCGAUCAGUCUGUGUCUCUGCAGUUCACCUCCACAAUUUGUGAAAUUUGGAGGAGCCGAGAUAAAGGUCUGCACGUUUUAAAUCGGCAUCGUCUUUGAAAUAAUGUGUAAUCCCUGCAAAUAAAG
This is a long non-coding RNA of Columba livia (rock pigeon), 3098 nucleotides long. RefSeq lists it as uncharacterized. The transcript is spliced from 3 exons. Lineage: Eukaryota; Metazoa; Chordata; Aves; Columbiformes; Columbidae. The record is from RefSeq and is a predicted model, not a curated record.